This 248-nucleotide ribosomal RNA is filed under the name uncultured bacterium. RNAcentral's name for it is "partial 16S ribosomal RNA". It matches the Rfam family "Bacterial small subunit ribosomal RNA", at positions 524 to 769 of the family's 1533-position model. The record is from RNAcentral.
UACGUAGGGUGCGAGCGUUGUCCGGAAUUAUUGGGCGUAAAGAGCUCGUAGGCGGUUUGUCGCGUCGGCCGUGAAAAUCUCCACGCUUAACGUGGAGCGUGCGGUCGAUACGGGCAGACUUGAGUUCGGUAGGGGAGACUGGAAUUCCUGGUGUAGCGGUGAAAUGCGCAGAUAUCAGGAGAACACCGGUGGCGAAGGGCGGCAUCCCUGGACCGGUAUUGACGCUGAGGCGCGAAAGCCAGGGGAGA